Osmia lignaria (orchard mason bee) is the source of this 14026-nucleotide non-coding RNA. NCBI's taxonomy places the organism in Eukaryota, Metazoa, Arthropoda, Insecta, Hymenoptera, Megachilidae. The record is from RefSeq and is a predicted model, not a curated record.
UGGUACCUGUAAAUUCAAGGUAACUUUUCAUUUCCAUAAAAAUCAUUUGACUCUCAUAGCAUAGCAAAACGAUAAAUUUCAUUUUUCUUAAUUUCUUAUUGCGUUUCUAUUUUCAUUUAAAAGGAACCUUGAAUUCUAAAUAAAAUCGCCCUUCGCGGAGUAUUUUUCCCGAGGUUUUUUACCGGUGCCCCAACGGGAAGGUAACCGGAUUGGCCGACCCCUAUCGAAAGUCGAGGUGACCAUGACUUUUAAUCGUCAUCGCAUGAAUGGGGAAGCGUAACGGUGCGACCGGUUCACACGAGGCCGAUGUUCGUCAUCAGGAUCCACCUGAUGCGGUGGGUCGUCCGUUCCAAGAUACAGUACGUAACGAUUUAACCUGUAAGUAGGUGACGGUCUCCUUUUCCGCUUGCCAUGUGCAUACAUAUCGACGUGGCCCGAAAAGAAAUCCGGCUCCCUAUCUCGACGUAUUCCAUGACCGUACAUUCGUGUACCCUAACCUAACAUAUUUAUUACUUUACAUAAAUUUAUUUAUUUUGUAAUUAGAAAUGGCGGUCAACAGUGAUCGAUGCAUUUAGCAAUUAAUACUUGAUAUCGUGAUUCAGAGAGAAGGGUGAAAAGGAUCCAUAGGAUCGAAGGACGACCAGUGGAACGAUACCGAUAUUUUACAGACGAUCGCGUGCACAACACGAUUCCGUACCGGUUGGUCAGAAUUAUGGUUCUAAAGUUACGGUAUAUGUUUGACGGUAAUGUUUGGUAAUUGCGAUUCAUUGCAGCGAACGGUAUUUCGAUGCUGCUUACAUCAUUGAGCCGCUUCUAUUUCUCAUUAUAAACACGUUUCACGUUGUUUUUCAUAGCAAUACAUUUCAUUAAAUUGCAAGGACUUUAGAAUUAUGUUUUUCUUUAAUAUUUUUUAAGAGUAAUAUUAGAUUACUAGGCGUUUUAUAAAUGUUAGAUAUACUUUGAAUGGAGGAUUUAGGAAAAGUAUGUGGUUUAGCAGGACCGGAAACAGCUGUUUGUAGGGUUAUCAGUGACAAGAUCCGUUUCCGUUUGCGAGGAACAGGUUGCUUUCGGACACAAAGUGAUUAUGUCCAAGAAAGCCGGCCGUGGAACGCGGAAUUACUCAUCGUGCAUUAAAAGGAUCUUCACUCGGCUUGCUCGUCACCGGAAGUCCCGCGUCGUCCAUGAACCCACCGUGGACAGCGUAUUUUCUUGUGUGAACCUACCUCAUUGUUGCUUACCACGAUUGCGCAAUUUUUAGGAUGAAGUAAUUAAUCAUCAAUCAUUUUCUAACACUUUUCUUACUAAUUAAUUUUUAUGACAAUCUAUCUCUGGGUUUAUUUAAUGAAAUUAACACGAGAAGCCUUGGUAUUAUACAAUUUUUAUUAUCUUUCUUGGAACUUUUUCUUGUUUGAUAAAAAGAGUUAAAAAUAUUGAUAAGAAUACAUCUCGCAAGGUUCUCGUCUAUUUUCUUGGAAUAUCCAAUCGUAAGCUAGCAAAACCCUUGAAGCACAGCCUCUAUCCUCGCUCAACAAGACCUUGAACCGUAGUAGUUCCAGGUAGACGAUGAUGUAAACACAGGAACGGGAGAGAAACGUUUUACUGGGUAUACAUAUAAGUUGGCUGUGUCUAAACGGAAGAUAAUUUAGCACUUCGAGGUUGACGAGCAAAUUUUCUUUCGAGGUAAUCCCUUUACCGUGAACAGAUCACCUUUUGUCCUUUUCAGGAAGCGCGGAAUGCUUCCUUGUGAAAUUAACUUUAAGAAAAAGGAGAUUUAAGAGGUACUUCAGGAUUGAAGUCGACCGACUGACAGGAAAACGAGCACACUGGGAGUAAGGUAUAUAUAAGGUGCUUCAAAGAAAUGGUACUUUAGUGGAUUUCUAUCUCAGCGCUUUGAUAUCUCAGCAUUCUAGUAUUUUAGCGUUUUAAUAUGGCAGGGUUUAAGUAUUCUAGUGCCCAAUAUCUCAACUUUUAUGUAUUUUAGCGCCAGUAUUCCAGCGAUAUGGCAUCCUAGGGCCCAAAACUUUAGCGUCCUAAUAUCCCAGCGCCCAGUAUCCAAGCGUCCAAAAUUUCAGCGCCCAAAAUUUCAGCGCUCUGGCAUCCCAAGGCCCAAAACUUUAGCGUCCUAAUAUCCCAGCGCCCAGUAUCCCAGCGUCCAAAAUUUCAGCGCCUUAGUAUCUCAUGUCCAAAAUUUCAGCGCCCAAAUAUUCCAAUGUCUCAAUAUACCAGCGCCCUAAUAUCCCAGCGCCCUAGUAUCUCAAUGUCCAACAUUCCAGCGCUCUGGCAUCCCAAGGCCCAAAACUUUAGCGUCCUAAUAUCCCAGCGCCCAGUAUCCCAGCGUCCAAAAUUUCAGCGCCUUAGUAUCUCAUGUCCAAAAUUUCAGCGCCCAAAUAUUCCAAUGUCUUAAUAUACCAGCGCCCAAAAUUUCAGCGCUCUGGCAUCCCAGGGCCCAAAACUUUAGCGUCCUAAUAUCCCAGCGCCCAAAACUUUAGCGUCCUAAUAUCCCAGCGCCCAAAUAUUUCAGCGUUCAGUAUCCCAGCGUGCAAAAUUUCAGCGCCCAAAUAUUCCAAUGUCCCAAUAUACCAGCGCCCUAAUAUCCCAGCAUUCCUCUAUCUCAGGCGAGACCAUCCACUAUCCCAACGUUUCAAUAUCUUAAUUUUGAGAUCAUCAUUCUAGAACAUUCUACAAUAAUUGAUUGUUCCCCGAACAGUUUCUUUCAAGACGAAAGGCGCGAGAGCAAAAUGAAAGGUGGAGAAAAAAAAAAGAGAAACAGAAACUGAACGGAGUAGCCCAGAGGCAAAGAGACGAGGAGAAAGAGGUAGGUUCAAAUAGUCGGUCACUGAGCAUGCCUUUGACCAUACGGUAUUCUAUCCUACUUGCUACUCGCCGCAUGAUCAUUAUUUCGUUCCAUACAUCACGUUUCGCCACGGUGACUUUACGUUUUUCUUUUUUCUCUUUUCUUUUCUUUCUCAACGACCGAUGAUUCGUUAAGAAUCGCUUUCCAGACCACCUAUAUAAUAUCAAUCAUUUAUUCUCUCGAUAUUGAAAUUGCACCGUGAAAAUUGUAUAAUCUUUUUAUAUCCUCUUUACUUCGAUCAGAAUUGCACACAGGUACGCGAAUAAUUUAUUACAGAAAAUUUAGUUGCCAAUGAUGCGAGCAAUGGCAAAAGUGUUCAGGAAGAAGCCGGUGGAUUUCUGCACGCGCUACUUCUUUCGCAAACGCACGCGCUCUUUUACUUCGUGAGUUACAUUUCACUGGUUAACUCGUCAGACUUUUACGUUCUGCACGAUAGUUCUCCCUGGCUUUUACCUCCUGAUUGAAAGCGAUUGAUUCCAUAUCGCCUGCUCGCCUCACAUUCUGCUUGGACGAGGUAAAUAACGGUUUGCAAUGUAACUAAACGAUCGGAAUCUCGUCUUCUUUCUUCCAUGAUUGAUCUCUAAUGGGUUCGCUCGCGAUUACGAUGUUCAUUUCUGUAAUACGAAGAAUCUAAUAUUCAGUGAUCCAUGAUAGUUUUAUAAAUAUUCUCUUCUAAUAUUGGGACGUUUUAAAAUUUCAUCCACGCGGUACCUUGAUUAUUGCUCGAUCGAGCGAGGCAAAUGACUUCUUUCGAAACGCACGAAAACCAGUCUCGCCGGAAUGCGAGAAAAAAUAGCGCAUUUUAGUUUUCCAGUCGCGUUGAAAGAUGAAAAGUAAGGGGCUGGAAAGGUGGCAUUUUAAGAGCCUACGCCUCGACGAGGAAUUCGUUUCCUACCUUCAAAUAUGGUACUGUAGGUUGAAGACAAACCAUUGUCUUAGAGUUUCAUAAGAACCUUCAGCAAUCGUGAAGUUGAUUUUUUCAUUUGAAAAUCUUCGAUUAACAGAUCUAUAAAGUCAGGCAAUAAGUAGAAUUUUUCCCGACUUUCUAUAGCAGUAUCUCUGCGAUCGAUCGCCGUCCAUUGUCUCUGUUUUCUAUCCUUCUGUUUUCGUAUCGAAGAUACUGGCAUAAGCAUUGGUCCCAUGAAACUAACGGUUCCCAUCGCAGGAAGAACGAGCCUCGCGAUACUGGAAUGCGAAAGGCAAAUCGAAUCAUUGCUCUGCAACUCUGUUCCAUCGAAUCUGUUGCUUUAUAGACCAGUAGGAAAUGUCUCGUUUCAUUUGACAAUCUAUCAAACUUAUAUAAUCUUUCAAUACAGUUCUGUGAAUUAUUUCCAAAAUAUUAGCUAAUUAAAUGGAUAAAAUCUGUCAGCCGUAUCUAGGUGAUCUGAUAUUAUGCUUUCACUUUGUUGCUCCGUGCAACUCCACCUUUCCAGUUAACACGACGAAUAAAUCCAGAGGUUGAAUAAUAGUAUCGACCGCAAGUGUUUAUGAUGCAACCAGUUUAUCGAUUCCCCAUCGUUCGAGAGUGCAACACUUCGAUUCUCUAAAAAUGCACUCGUGAACUAUGGAUCUUUCCUGUGCGAGCGUUGAUGUUUCUUCAAAUCGCGUUACAUUUCAACCGAUUCAGAGUAUUUCAAAAAGGGAGAAUGUAAUUUAUUAAAAACAAAUGAAUAAUAAACAAACGUAAUAUCUGUCGAGAUUUGCUAUUUUUAGGAUUCGCAAAGGAACCCCUGUGGCUCGGGGGGAUUAGAAUACGGCCACGGUAUCCCCUGCCUGUCGUAAGAGGCGACUAAAAGGGGACACACACGCACAGACUCUAGUAAAAAAUUGUAAAAGUAUGGCAAAUGUAUGAAACAAUGUAAAAUGCAAAAGAGAAUGAAAUUCGAAAAGGGGACAGUAAAAGUACCCAAAGUACGCCUGGAGGAAACGGGACGUAAAAAUGCCUCCCUUUUUUCCGAACCGGGGAAAAUUAAAGUAAAGUAAAGGAUUCGCAAUAGGUUUUACUUCUUCUUUCUACGAAAUUUCUACACUUUCCAAUAUUGCGACCAAUGCUUUCGAAUAGAAAUCGCUAAGUAAUCUAUAUAUAAAAGAUCGUUCGCAUGCGGGCGUUGAAAUCUCCGAGUCACAGCUACCUACCGUCCCGUUAGAAACGUGAUUUUAUAGGCUCGGCGAGAUCUUUCAUUAUCACCAACGUGUAAUUAAAGGAAUAAUGUAGAAUUACGUGAAUCGCUGUGAAUUUUUAACACGCACCAGAUUAUUCCUGAGAUAUUUUUCUUUUAAUAAAAAAUUUAAGAGACACGGGCAAUUUUUGACACUUGUAUAAUUUCGUACGUUUGUAUAUUAAAUUAGAUCAUUUAUGAUGUGUAAAUGAUAGACGCAGCUAUUUUCUAUUCGUGGAAAACGGCGCGUUAGGAGAAACGAAACAAAGCGGAACGUCUCUAGGCAACGAAGUAACUCUGAUCGAUUUAAAGACAAGACGAGCUGCAGACUCGAAGCUUAGAAGAGUUCCCUGCCCUCGCUUCUACGACGAUCGUCGUGUUCUACGCGAGCAGAAUGUAAUAGGUGUGCUCGCGUGCACGAGGCUUGAGUAAUCUCGUAUACCCGGUGUACGGUUCGCGAUCAAAUCAGUUUUCCCCGGUAAAAAUAACGAUAUAGGAGAAAAUUUUGAAAAUCACCGUCUUCGAUUCUCAAAGACCUCGAAAAAUUCUAAGAAAUAUUAUUUCUAAGGAAACUAUAGUUACCUGAGACUUUUGAUGCUAAGCCAUGCGAUCAGAAAACAUUUCUUCCCAUUGUGUUCUCGCGUGAUCCGAAAGAGCGUAGGAAAGUCGAUCAAAGGGAAAGUUACGUGAAAAUUGAACGGUCCCAACAAAUAGAUCAGCGAUACCGAUAACUUAAUUAUCGUCCCUCGGGCUGUGCCAAUGUCCAAUGGUCAUUGAGUGAAAGUCGUGCUCUUUGGACGAGAAACAAUGAGCGGUAAACGUCACCAGCUGAAUUAAUUACCGUGGUUAAACAAUUGUUCUUGUUUUCUCCCGUUAAAUAUCCUUCGUUUAAGCAUAUCUUUGUUUUGUAAUAUUCCAAGUGAUAGAUUAAGCAAUUUAUUAAAAUCUCUAUUUGUCAUAGUUGGAUAUUAUUCGAGUAUAAGAUUCUUUGUUAUCAAGAUUCAUCUAAAUUCCUUUUGGGUGAUAAAUUCAGCUGGUUUCAAUCACUGUUUUUCCCAGCAUGAGUAAACAGGUUAUGCAGAUGAUCAGGGUACAGCAUUGUAAAGUAGUCGUAACAAAGACAUCAAAGGGAGCUAUGUGUUGAGAAUAUAAAGAAGAGAAUACGUUCACUCGCGUAUUUAUGGUACCGUUAACCAGGUUAUCUCGCCAGAUAGCGUUCUUUAAAAGACCUUCAGGGAUCCUUGUUAAUUUGUAAUGCCUUUAUUCUUUCCAAUAAUAACAAUAGUAAAAUUCGUAGGAAAGCAUUGAUAAAAAUUUUUAAAAUAGGUCGAGAUAACUCGUCUUUGUCCUAAAAGAAAAGAGGUAUUUUAGGAUUAAAUAAAAAAUGAAAUGAUUUGGAUUCUCCUGAGGCACGUGUGAACGGGAUUCAAACGAGAACAGUUUCUCGCGUGGGAUCGGUGGAAGACGAAAUAGAAAGUCGUCGGUUGUUGCGCGAAAAAAAAAAAAAGAAAAAAGAAGGAUUAUACAUAUCAGAGAAACGUAAUCGUCAUUUAAUUAGCGGCUCGUCCGCGAGAGACGCGUAUCUGUCGGGGGAGAACGUUGCAGCAAGAUGGUGCAAGCGGUGCACGCGCGAGUAUGCCUUUCCAAGCGAACCGAAGGACGGACCUCGAUGAUUCCUUUGCUCACUCGGGAUGCAAUUAAAAAUCUUUCACGCUUUACCUGGUGAGAUGCGAACCACGCUUACUGCUUCGUGAUUUAGAUCGGAUCUAUCCUUUUCCGUUUCUUUCACCUGAAUUGUUAAAGUGUAACGUUCACUGUACAGCAUGGUGCGGAUAAAAAGUAGUUAAUCAACUGUUAUCAACGAUACGUGAGAUGUUUCGAAUUUUUUUAUACGAAACAAAGUUAUUUUAUUUCCGAAUCGAAGAUAUCUCACGAACCGUUGAUACCGAUAUAAUUUCUCAGAAAUAUGCAAUUGCAUUUGAAACAGAGAUGCACUUGUAAAAAAGUAAAACGAUUCUUGCCUAUUUCUAAACUAUUAUGGAAACCGUGAAGAAUUUCAAAGAAAUGUUACACGAUAAUGAACAUAGGUAUUCCUCGUUCGAUUACAGACAAGAGUUACUUAAUCCCCUCGUGUACAGAAUCCUGAAUGAAAACUCGUAUGGUUAUCUAGUAAAUCUACCCAGGCAACCUACAUUCGCUCGUGAAAUUCGUUUCAUUGUUUCGUUAAUAAUCUCGUCCAUUGUGUGAUCCAGGUAAAGAAAGAGAUGAGCCCUCUAAUGAUUCCACUCGUGUGCUGAUAGAAACAGAGAGAACUUCCGUCACAGAAUUUUUGUGGAAAUUUGAUUCAUUUUUCUGAGAAUUAUAAACAAGUAUCAUCAGAGUAAUUAUAGCACAAUUACACUCGGGUGGAUUACAUUGGAGGUGGUAAGUUAUGCGGUUAACCCUUCUGUGGGCAAGCAUACUUGAUGGAUAUCAUUAUUAAUCCUUCUCUGUGAAGAGCAAAGCAUCAUUUUUUCUAUUUCAAAUUCUGCUAAAACAACUGUAAGCGUUUAGUGUACGGGGAGAGAGGGUUUCGUCUCCCCGGACGCUUUUAGUUCGGGUCGGGUACCGCUAGGUGGCGGCGAGAUCGGUGACAGUGUUCUCGCAAGCGGUCGCCCGGCAUGCAAGUUCCGAAUUGCGGUAUGAUAGGAGUCUGUUGUCAGCCCCACUGACAGACGAUCCCGAGACGAAACGUCUUUUUCUCCCCUCUCCUACACAACUUGAAGAUUCAUAACAGGUACCAGGUACAAUGACUACCAGGGUUUCCCCAUGGUGCAAGAGACAGGUGUCCUAUUCAUGGGUUUCUCUGAAGCGAAUGUUCUACUAAUAAUAGAAAUUCAUCCAGCGAUGACAGGUCCAAGGGAUCAUGGUUUAUGACACGGCCCGAGUUGGGUACUUCUUUAGAUAUAAUCUUUUGGCGAACUUAAAUUCUUUGAGAACCUUUACUACCUGUCAUUGACACUUUUAUAACAUUUCCAAAUUGAACUGUUCCCGUGCCUCUCUAUGAGGUCCGCCGGACCGUACCAUUUUUCUUCCUAUUAUUCUCAGCAACAAUUCCACCUUGCGUUUUUCCCCAAGGACGUUCGUAAGAGCGUAUCGACCAGUUUGCUAACCGUACACCAGUUAACGUGAACACCUCCCAGACUUCACCUUUUCUGUUUACCUUCUCGAUGGAGUUGCAAAGCAACGAGGUACACGUGCGAAAGCACAGGAUUGAUUCGAACGAGUGGCCCCCUUUUUCCCCUCGGUAUGUGUACCGAUAACGAAGCACACUUUUGCGUGUAGUUUCUGCUGGAGUGGCUCUAACUUGUACAUAUUAGAGAGGACGUAUUAAAAGGCAACUGUGAAACCGGUUUCCUUCGUCCACCAUUUGUUCCGUCGUAAUAUUGCAACAAAUUGAGAAAAUUAAUAAGUUAAAGGAAUGAAAUUAUGAGAUUAUAAGUCCAUCGAAAUUUUGGAUAAAAAUAAAAUCAAAUUUUGCAACAUAGGAGGAGGAGUUCCUAACCAUUCUCCUGAAUACUCAAGAAAUAAUUCUCAUAAUUUUAAUUUAGAAAAAUCUGGUUAAUAUAAUUUUCCAAGGCUUUGUGUGCGAGAAACAUGUUCCAGGUAAUUGUUGAUUCACGGAAAAAAGAAACGACGUAGGAUCGUCUUGAACUAAAGAGGAGGAAGAAAAGUGGACGUUUUGAUGUCGUGUUUUCGAACGACAGGGUUUGACGAGGUUGUUAGAGAUUCCAAGGAAGAGGUAACGGGUAGAACAGCAAAAACACUGAAGAAUUGCGUGGCAAGGGUCUCGAUUUCCCCUCUGGAAUCUUCCCUCGUGGAAAGUAAUCGCUGCCACGAACUUUCCACACGAUAAACACGAGUUUACGGUCCACCAUCGCUGCUGGCACGUGUUUUUUCUUCGUCGCUUUUAUGGAACUGACGUUGUUUUCCUCGGUGACUGGUGAUUAAACGAGAAAGUUGACAAUAACAAAGAGGAAAUUAAUUUUAUAAUUGAAUUUCUAUAUAAUUUGAUUGACGAGAGUGCCGGACAUUAAAUCAGGACGGUGUCGCGCGAUUUCCAUCGACAGCAGCCGAUAUUCGUGUCAGUGGGCAACCUCGAGUCGAUUUCUCAACUCGAUCGUCCUCCAUCGGCGAAAUCCUCUUCCCCUUUUUGGGAAAAAUCUCUCCUGGGACAUGGGAAAAGCCGGCGUGGCCGGUCGAGCGGAAGUCACGAUUUCACGGGGGAAGAUAUAUUAUUCGGACGGACGCUAUUACUCAUCGAACACCUAUGCGACCAAGUAUUUUUCACCGAUUUUAUACGAAUACCGUUAUCUCGUUCAGCGAUACUCUUCUUAUACGGUAGCGUUUCACGUCAACUUACGGGGCGUUAAUGUUCCGUUACGUAAGAAAUUGCGAAUCAUUAUUACAAAGUAUACUUUACAUGGAUAGACAAUUGAAACUAAUAAAAAUAAAAGUUUCGAAGAGAAAAUAUUUCUAAUUUUCACCAUCGUUGCAGUUGGUUUCAUCAGGGGUCAGCAAACGCGCUGAUACUAGGUAUCAUAAUAAAUAGCAGCGACAUCAGGGGUCAAACGACACAUUGAUAGUCGAUAUCAACACCAUCAAAUUGAUAGACAGCUCGGAAUUACGGACACCUGGGUGCCAUAAGAAACUAAGAUCCCCGUCGGCACCCAUUAAAUCGUGUCGCAAAAACAGCAGACAAUCCGAUCCGUGAGGACUCACCGAUGGUGGUUUGUAUCCUUGGCUCGACGUCGACAGCGGAGACGAGGACGACUUGGCCUAACAGGCAAAGUCCUACGACCGCGUACAGAAAACAUCUUUCCUGGAUACGCAUCCUACCGCAUUCUUCUGCACAGUUCCACUUAAAACACGCUCGAAACACCAGGUCCUCUUAAUCGAUCUGUUAUCGUUUGCCAGUCGCAGGCAACGAUCGAUCAAACAGAAUGAAAAACCUUUCGGCUAUCACAACAGGGUAUCGAACACUGUAAGCACAAAAAUAAUAAUUCACGGUAUAAUUCACUCGGUUCACUGAUUCGUCGGUCGAUUCGCUCGCGAUCCGUGCCGAGGCCGGAGGUGAAGUGCACCGGCUGAUUCCAACACGACGGACAUAUUGGCGGGCCUUGGAAUAAUGGCGGACCUCGGUCAGGGAAGGGGCAGGUUUACUUCUUCAGGGAUAGGAGUAGUGAGCUUAGGCUGCUGAUCUUCUGCUUUCAUGUAAAUAAUUUUUAAUUAUUCUGUUACGAAUUUUAAUAUAUAGGGAAGGGUAUUUAUAUAUUUCGGGAAUUUAAUUUUUUUUUCUAAAUUAAAUGCCACGAAUAUUGAAUAAAGAUACGAUUUAUAAGUAAAUGAUCGUCAUUUUCAAUAUUUAAUAAAAUGGAUUUUAGUGAUGAUGUUUUUUAAUUGAGACACCCUGUAUGUAUCUUUAUAUCUCCUCUACGCCUCCACCUAUGACAAAAUUAGUCGUAUCAGUUAUUCAGGUGAUCUUUUAUUUAAAUCUUCUUGUAUAUUUGGUAAGGAACAACCAUCAGUAUUAAUUAAAUAUUUCAAUUCUUUAUCCAUCGAUUGAAGAGUUGAAUGCAAGAAUCAGACAACUUCAUUUUUAGUAAUUUUACAGAAAUUGAAAGGAACUAUUUAAAUCAUUUUUUUUUCUUAAACAUAUAACAAAAUUUUUAUUUCUAAAGAAAACGAAGCUGUCUGGUUCUUGCAUCCAACCCUUCAAUUAUAGAAUUCCAGCAUAAGGGUUUUGCAAAUUCCUUUCAGGAAUUCGUGGAAUUUUAAGUCAUCAUAAUUCCAGGGAGUAAUUAGAAUAAUUACAUAAAUUUUAAUACUCGUCAUAGAGUUUUAAGAAUUCCAAUGUGUCCUUAGACUCUUGAAGAAGCUAGUUGCAACGAUCACAGAUUUGAUUCAUUUUCAUUCUUUUUUUCAUGGAAUGAAUGUUAUUUCAAGGUCGACAUUAGAUGAUGCAGAAAUUGAAUCGAACAAUCGUGGUGACGAAUCGAAGCGAAAGCGGUGAAAUCGAAAGUAAGCGUGUAUUGUCGCGUAUUUUCGUCGCGUGCAUUUAUCGAUCGUCACUUUUGCUACUGGAACAAAGUGUCUCUCAUCGACCGUGGAACGAUGUAAUUUUCGAUAAUACCCUCGCUACAGUUUCUCCUCAGGAAUCGGGAUAAAAACACUCCUUUGUUUCCCUUUUCUUAUUUUACGAAUCAAUUAACACCUCUCAUGUCCACUUGAAAUUAGUCAUUAAUUAAUUAAUUCGGAACAAAGCGAAUAAUAAUUAACACGUUAUUCACCAACCAUAAGUAAAAUAGAUCUACCGUCUUAUCGCUUCCAUAGAAUCAUAGAUCCCAAGAAAAUUUUUGAUUUCCCAUAACUUCUCCAUUGAUCAAUGAUCAAUUAUAUAUAUUUAUUGAUCUAAGGGCGGAUUAUUAAAGGGCUAGAAUCAUAGAUCCUAAGAACAUUUUUGUUUUCCCAUAACUUCCCCAUUGAUCAAUGAUCAAUUAGAUAUAUUUAUUGAUCUAAGGACGAAUUAUUAUAGGGCUAGAAUCAUAGAUCCUAAGAACGUUUUUGUUUUCCCAUAACUUCUCUAUUAAUCAAUGAUCAAUUAUAUAUAUUUAUUGAUCUAAGGACGGAUUAUUAUAGGGCUAGAAUCAUAGAUCCCAAGAAAAUUUUUGUUCUCUCAUAACUUCCCUAUUAAUCAAUAAUCAAUUAUAUAUAUUUAUUGAUCUAAGGGCGGAUUAUUAUAGGGUUAGAAUCAUAGAUCCCAAGAAAAUUUUUGUUUUCCCAUAACUUCCCUAUUAAUCAAUCAUCAAUUAUAUGUAUUUAUUGAUCUAAGGGCGGAUUAUUAUUCGUCUGAAAGUUUCUCGAGAGAAAGUGUUAGUGGGUCAGGGUGACGACACACCUCCAGACACUCCAGCAAAGUCAGAACAAUGGGAUCUUUGAAUCAUUUAAAUGCAGGACGUAUAUAUUCGCCAAUGAUUAAAAUAAUUUCCUCACUGAAGAUGAUUUCUCCUCUCGAAGGGCGUCGAUCAUUUUGAAAGAUCCUGAAGGAAGUUCCUGGUAAAUGAGUCACCCGGUAGACGAAUCGAGUCCGGUCAAGGAAGGCCUCGGCUAACUUUGGAGAAAUCUUUCACGGAGAAAAAGCGAGUGGGUUUCAUCCACGCUCACACUGGUCUCACCUUUGUAACGAUCUCAGGCGUCUGUGUCGGUGUCUUAUGUCAUCCACUCGGUGAACUAGAUUCGAAAUCCUCCGCGUUAAGAAAAUCGUUCUCUUACAUGAUCCUCGAUCACGUGAAAAUAAUGUUUUAACGAGGUUUACAUUACUUUGUGUGAAACGAAAUGAUACUUUAAUUAGUGGCAAGCAUCGAUGCACUUUAUUAUUGAAGCUUUCUUUUUUAGAAGAUCUGAGAAGAAUGAAGUCACGUUCGCAUCCGGUACUAUUCUCUUUUUACGAAAUUAUGUGUUAGUCAUCGUUACAAGAUUCGGAUUUCCCAUAGGGGUUUCGGGCAAUGCUGCGUGGCAGUGUCAUCGGCAUUACAAUGAAUCUGUCUAUUCAUAGCUAGAGAUAUCAUUGAAUGCUAAUUACUCGGUUAGUGUUUACCACCUUGCAAUAAGUAUUAUUUCUAGAUGCGAUGCUUUCGAAUUUCUGUAUGAGGAAUACUAGCACGAUUUUUGAUUCGAGGUUUAAAAAUAAUUUCGGUAAUUUAGGUGACUGUAAAAUAAUUUAAUAUAUAGAGCUCUGAUAAUUGAAUAUAAAGAGCUGUUAGCGAGUUUUUUGCGAGAUGUUCACCUUGGAGCUCAGAUAUAGCUCGCGAGCUAUUCGCGAACAGCAUUGUAGACGCGGCAUUACAUAUUCAAAUAUUUUGUAAAAUUUUGGUCAAAGUUACGGCGACGAGCGUGAAAUGCAAUAAGGAGAGCAUAAAGCGAAGCGCAUACAGCAAAACAGAGGGCAAAGCUCGAGGGAAGGCCGAGAUUCGGUGAAAGCGUGCCGCAUAAUCUGCAUGUACACGUUUCCCGUUAAUUUGCACGCCGUAUUAGCGUGCAUUAUCAACCAACUGUUUUAUUUCCCCUUUGCAUUAUUUAUCACCUGUUGCAUCGCGUAGCUCGAACAAUGAACGGACGCGUUUAGAAAAUUCGAUGUGUUACCAGUGGUUAUAGAUUCAACAAGUUUGGAUACGUUUUUGUUUUCGAGAGGUCUUGAAUUUGUGCUGCGCGAACGAGCGCCAUUUGCCCUAUUUCAGUAUAAUAAUAUGAAAUAACUUUGCACUGUAACAGUCUAAUGCACGUUGACGGUGAUAACAUGUUGCUUCGAUUCUAACGAGUAUACUCCAUCAUUCACUGUCAGUGCUUCGAGCUCAGUAUUGCCAUGUUUCAGUAACGAAGGCAUGUCCAAUCUAGUUGGAUCUGUAGUCACCGAGGUUAGCGAAGAUGUUACAUCCCAGGAUCGCCACCCCCAAAGUGAACAGCGAAGAGAAGCAUUAAGGGAAGGGUGAUCCAGCCUUCCCCUUCAACAGUAGAUACGACAGUUCCACCAUUAAACUCGGUGGGAAUAUCAGGAUCACUGGCGUCCGGGCACCCUUGCACGCGACCCUUGCAAAGGUCGGCACAGGGUGCGACCCCCGGUGUCGGCCACAGGAUAGGUAGCAGGGGGUAAUCUCAGUUUGGACCUCCCUCGAGAUAGGCACUUGAGUACCAGACGUGGAGGGCUCCGGAAUAAUACACAUAAGGUCAUACCGUCAGUGUUGGUCGACGUGAGGUUUAACCACUGAUUCGAGUAAAGGUAGCUGGCUGCGACACCGUUAUCAAUCGUUCGACGUAGAGCGAAGUGAAACAUCAUCAGUCUUAUAGCGACCGCCGAGGGGUACAGAUCUACCUGCUAAACAUACAUAUACCCUUAUUUUACAUUCUGCGUUCAUUUAACUUGUUGUAUUUAUCUUCUUAGCUUAUUGAAUAAACUCAUUAGGAGGAUGAACGUGUU